UGAUGGUGUUUUUAUUUUUGUCAGUUUAAGUCAUGAUUUUAUUUAAAAGCAAUACGAGUCAACACGCAAGAGCACGUACACAUAAUACAAUUCUUCGGUGUAUGUCUAGAUCUAGAUUAUUAUUGAUUAGGCCUAUAUAAAGAUUUCAAUUUGCAUUGUGAGAGCCAGGACAGAUCACCAAAGACAGUCACCAAAGCAAGAAUAAGUCAUCUAUAGGCUUACUGGAUGAACUAUAUCUAGAGAUCCAGAUUUAGACCAUUCAUUACUCAAAUGACUUUUCAACUUUUAAACACAGUAUAUAUUUCAUACGUUCACUGAUUGGUUUCAUGACUUAAAAGAAGUUUUUCACUUUUUUACAAGUAGCUUUGAAUGUUUUGAAAGAAUUUCCAAGGAAUCACAAUUUAUCUUGCAUCACUGUUGAGUUGCCCUUUCUCUGAGGAUGAAUUUAAUUUGAAUACAUUUUGUCAAGGAUCUAACAAUUUAGCAAGCAGGGAUCUGGCUUCAAUUUAAUGAAUUUGUGUUAUUGACUUCAAGUCUUGACAGAACAAUGGCAGAUCAUUUCUUAGUUUCUAAAUUCAAGUUCCUGAUUCUUCAUCAAAUGUCAGACAGAAAUCUCUGAAGAUAGUUUUACAAGAGUAUCACAGUUCAAUUUAUCACAUUCCAUGUUAUUGGUAUGAAGCCUCAAUAUGUCUCAAGAGAACUGUACAUUCAAAGAAACUUUAUUUCUACACACAAGAUAUCAGCCCUGACCGCACUUCAAACUUUGUUUCAACUAUUGUAUUGUUUAAAUCUUCACCACCACUAUUAUUUUGACCUAUGUAGUCAUCUAGUCUGUUAUAUCUCUACAUGGACAUAUCUAAGUUAUCAUAGCUACUUUAAAAAACGAAUUGUCAGCAUGUAAAACAAUAGUUUAUGUUCAACUCAUAUCCUGUAUAAUCUCAACUCUUAGAGUUGAACUGUCCAUUAGUUAAAAAUAGUUGUCACACCAUUUUUGUGCUAGGAUUUCUUGUAUGCUAUAGAAUAUGCAAGUAAUACCUAACUAGUCAAUACACACGUUUGGAUUUCUUGUAAAAUAUAGAUUCCAUGCAGCAAGUUACAACCAGCUUUUACACAUCUUCAGUCAGUUCUCCUCUACUACUUUCUGGAGUUUCAGUUUAUGCAUACAUGUUUAUUGCUAUAUUUUGUAAACAUAAUGGUGUAACUCAAUCUCUUUGAGUACAGACUUGAAAAAUGAAGUGCUUUAUAUAGAUUUUUAAACUUAUUAUAGAAACUUCUAUUACCUGUAUUUUUAAUAACUACUUGUAAUUUUGAGUUUUCUUCAAUUACUUACAAAAUCAUUGUAAUAUAAGUUCUAGAUAAUUUCAUCUAAAAUCUUAAUUCUUCCCACAAUUUUCCAAUUAGAUUUCUAUUUUUCUUAAUUUUUUAUAUUUUCUUUGUCACCUUUCUAAUAAACUUCCAAAUUAUAAGUUAUAAUGGACCACAUUUGAAUGUACUGCAUUCUUAUAAAGUGACUACUUCUACAGAUGAUCACUUUUCUGUUCAUUGUUUGUUGAAAUGUGCAAUUUUUGUAGUCAUUAUUUGAACUGUCAUUUUAUUACUGAAUCAUUUCAGAAAUUGUGGUCUGAAUGGUGCCAAAAGUAAUGUUUAUUUCACAAUGAAUCCAUCUCUUUGCAAAUGUUCUAUCACACUUCUCUGGUCAAUCAUUUAUUAUUCAUGCCAUUAUUUUUGGCAUAUACAAAUCUUAAAUUAUAUUUCUAGUGCACAUUGCAGCUAUUUCUGUACUCUAAUUAUUGCCAAGAAUAAUUUAGUUACUUCAAACCAGCAGUUUUCUUUUCAAAAUCUAGAUCACUGCUAUUUUUCAUUUUCUUUGCAUAGCCUAAAUCCCUUUUUUUAAACUAGCCAUUGUCUUUGCUAAGUCUAGAUCACUGCCUUUUUAAAUGACAUUUUCUAUGCUAAGGCUAGCUCACUGCCUUUCUAAAAUAAGCCAUUGUCUUUGCUAAAUCUAUAUCACUGCCUUUUUAAAUGACAUUUUCUAUGCUAAGGCUAGCUCACUGCCUUUCUAAAAUAAGCCAUUGUCUUUGCUAAGUCUAGCUCACUGCCUUUCUAAAAUAAGCCAUUGUCUUUGCUAAAUCUAGAUCACUGUCUUUUUAAAUGACAUUUUCUAUGCUAUGGCUAGCUCACUGCCUUUCUAAAAUAAGCCAUUGUCUUUGCUAAGUCUAGAUCACUGCCUUUUUAAAUGACAUUUUCUAUGCUAAGGCUAGCUCACUGCCUUUCUAAAAUAAGCCAUGAUUUUUGCUAAAUCUAGAUCACUGCCUUUUUAAAUAUCAUCUUCUAUGCAAAGCCUAGAUAACUAGGCCUACUUUUCUAAAAUAAACCAUUGUCUUUGCUAGUCUAGAUCACUGCUUUUUUAAAUAUCAUCUUCUAUGCAAAGCCUAGAUCACUGCCUUUUAAAUAUCAUCUUCUAUGCAAAGCCUAGAUCACUGCCUUUCUAAAAUAAGCCAUUGUCUUUGCUAAGUCUAGAUCACUGCCUUUUUAAAUGUCAUUUUGUAUGCAAAGCCUAGAUCACUGCCUUUCUAAAAUAAGCCAUUUUCUAUGCAAAGUCUAGAUCACUGCCUGUUUAAAUAUCAUCUUCUAUGCAAAGCCUAGAUCACUGCUUUUCUAAAAUAAGCCAUUCUCUAUGCUAAGUCUAGAUCACUGCCUUUUUAAAUGUCAUUUUCUAUGCAAAGCCUAGAUCACUGCUUUUCUAAAAUAAGUCAUUUUCUUUGCUAGUCUAGAUCACUGCUUUUCUAAAAUAAGCCAUUUUCUUCUCUUAAUUUCUUUCUGCUCAAUGAUAAUGUCAUUUUCUUUGCAAAGUCUAGAUCAUUGCUUUUCUAAAUGUAUACAUUGCUACACAUUCAAUUGUAACUAUUGGUAUAAUUGCUUCAAUUCCUCUCCCCAAAGUAAAAUUUUAGUGAAUACACAUAAAUCUACACUUUAAAAAUCUAGUGACAUGUGCAUUUUUAUUUGGACCCAAACCCCUAAUAAACAGAAUUAUUUUUAUUUCUGUAAUGUGUAGCCUGUUAAGUGACAAGUAUUAUGCAUUCUGCACUACUGAAGCCAUUUCCUUGUCAAUUUCUAUGCCAUUGUUAAAGUCUAUGUUAUGACAUAGUGUCAACUAUUUUGUCUUGACAGACAUUUUAGUCUGUAUUUAAAUAUAUCAAAUCAAAUGAAAUAUUCAAGUAAUGUCUACAAGUUAAAUACAAUCCUUAUACAAACAUGCAAAGUCAACCAUUUUCUGCUUUGAGAAUAAGUUUAAGCCAAUCAUCACACACAUCAUGUUGACUUAACAAAACCCAAUUAAACAAGAUGUGAACUUAAAAGAAUACUUCUGUAAUGAAAAAAUGUUCUAAGUUUAGAAAUGUAAUACUAUAGUGUCCUGAGUAUGACGUUAAACUGCUCCUCUUUGUUAGUUACUUUUGGAGCUCAAAAGUUUCUUUUUCUUUCUUCUUACCAGUCUGUCUCAUCUUCUCUAGUGUCUGUCUCAUCUUCUCUAGUGUCUGUCUCAUCUUCUCUAGUGUCUGCCUCAUCUUCUCUAGUGUCUGCCUCAUCUUCUCUAGUGUCUGCCUCAUCUUCUCUAGUACAAUGUCAUGAAUUAUUUACACUCAGUACAAUGUCAUGAAUUAUUUACACUCAGUACAAUGGCAUGAAUUAUUUACACUCAGUACAAUGGCAUGAAUUAUUUACACUCAGUACAAUGGCAUGAAUUAUUUACACCCAUCAAUGUCAUGAAUUAUUUAGUAUUUAUACUUAUGUAAAGUAUCCAAGUAAUUGUGAAAUAAAAUCUCUUCAGACCACAUGGAUAAGGUUUUAGAAUUUUUAAGAAAAGGAAGACAGAUUGUUAAGUUGGCAGACACUUAAGUGUAUAUAGUUAACAUUUUGUAUUUUCCCUUUAUUAUUUGUAUUUGUUUUUAAUUGGUCAUUAAAACUUGUACUUAGCUUAGUGAAAGAACAUAACAAAUUGUUAGCUCAAUCAACUCAGGCACAUAAAGUUGAAUCUAAUUGUGUGUACACCUUUGAACAUGUCAUAUAAAACAUCUGUACUGAUUGUGGUCUAGUUUCCCUAUAAUGUUGUUUUAUUUUAGAAGAGUUAACUUGUGUAGUGGAUGGUAGUCUCCUGUAGAUAAGUUUAUAUAAGUGGUGUGGCCGGCAACACUGCUUAUAUAGAUGAAUCCUCAGGGACUUCACUUUCCCUGUACAGUUGAUGAUUCAAAGAUUGUACAGCAAAGUUGAGUGAAACUGACCCAUCUCUACUUAUAUCCGUACUAGUUAACUUAAUAUAUCAGCCAAGUUCAUAGCACCAAUUGAAAGAUGCAAACUUAGACUCUUAGGUACACUUGUACACUGUAAUAUUUGAGUUCACUCAUACUGUUAUAUCAGAUUUUUCUAUAAUAAACUUGUACCCCUUAUCCAUAAACUUGUACCAUUAUACAUGAGUUAACUUCUGAUAUUAUCUUUAGAUUACUUGUAUAUUAUUCCCUUGAGUUUACAUGUACUGAUAAGACAGUUUACUUUAUAUUAUUACCUUGAGUUUACUUUAUAUUAUUACCUUGAGUUUACUUUAUAUUAUUACCUUGAGUUUACUUUAUAUUACCUUGAGUUUACUUUAUAUUAUUACCUUGAGUUUUACUUGUUACACUGAGUUUACUUUUGUACCAAUUUUACACUGAGUUUGUGUAACAUUACCUUGAGUUUCUGUGUAACAUUACCUUGAGUUUCUGUGUCGUAUUACCUUGAGUUUCUGUGUAAUAUUACCUUGAGUUUACUUGUACUUCCUUUCAUUAUAAAAUCUAAUUUCUCUAUUAUUGACCUGUUUCUCUAUUAUUGUUACUUAAAAAUGAUGUUCUUUCUGUUGAAUAAUAUAACCUGUCAAUUUGUACACUUUUCAAAGUAUUGGAUUUAUAUAAACUAUUUUUUGUUUUUACAAUCUACUGUUAUUCAUACAACAGUCCUUGACACUUUUUUUUUUCUGUUACUACAUUGUAUACAUAGUCAUACUACAGUCAUUGACACUACAAAGUAUACAUAGUCAUACUACAGUCAUUGACACUACAAAGUAUACAUAGUCAUACUACAGUCAUUGACACUACAAAGUAUACAUAGUCAUACUACAGUCAUUGACACUACAAAGUAUACAUUGUGUGUAUUUUGUUGACUAGUCUUUUGAAAGAUACGUGAAAAAAGCAUUAAUUUAUGUUAAUAAGAUUUAUGCUUAAAUUGCUUCUAUCUUUCCACGAGACACUAUUCCACAUCAGACAUAAAACUGGAUAGAAUCAUUAGGCUUCACUCAACACCAUCACACACAUUAUUGUAUACAUUCAGUCGAUCACAUACUCUAAGUAAAAGGACAAUAACAUACAUAUUAAGAGAAAACACCACCACACACACAUAUACAGAUAACACACACACUGCAAUCUUUCUUUGCCACACUAAACACAAGACUAAGACCAGGUGAUUACUUUGUCUACAUGUAACAUUUGACCAAGUGUUCAUUGAUAGGAAAAUUGUCUAUAUCAUUACUUGUUUUACUUUAUAUUGGAAGUCAUUUCUUUUGAAAGUCAUUUUUUGUCCAUUUCUUCCAAUUAGUUCUGGAGUUUUCUUUUUUUUUUUUUUUUUCACAAACCUGUACUUUUUAAAAAGCUACAUUUUUAGUUAUAUUAAAAUUAGAUAAGUUCUCAGUCAUUAAACAGCUCUUCCAAAAAAAAACAAAAAAAAAAAACAACAUAGUUAGCAUGCCAAAUAAAUAGAUUUUGAUCUAAUAUUUUUUCAAUUCCUUGAAUGUUUAGUUCUUAAAAGUUGUUUUUUUUUAUAGUAAACUUUCACUCAGGACAUUAAACUGUUUCUCUUUUCUGGCACUUUUAGAGCUCAAAAGUUCCUCUUCUUACUUUCCUCCUUUCUAUAAUUAUCUGAUCUUUUCCUUUGUCAGCUCAACUUUAAUAGUAAGCGUCCAUUACUGAAAGUAAAGAAUUUUUUUUUUGUUAGUCCUCACCCCAUCUUAGUAAGUCUUUUGUUACUAAGUAAAUCUUUUAGUCAUCUAUUUUUUUAAAUUGUUGGACUAGAGAUCUGUCGCUAGCUGGCCGUAGUGAUAGGGUUUCCACCUAGCAAUUUGGUAAUUAAUUCUAUUGGUGGAGUUCUUCAUAGCUUUUAUUUAUAAAAUGUCAAGUAUAAGUAAAUUUUUCAGCCCUUUGAAGUUGGCAAGCUUGUGUUGUAUUUAAUUUAAAUAAUUUUCAUCAGUGUUUUUGUCUAUCUUGGUCUGUUUUUUUUAUAUUUCUAUUUAUUCAGACAGUUUAAUAGAAAUACUUUGAUUCUUAGUCUACUAUUUGCAGAUUGAGUGAUUUUGUUUGGGUAUGAAUAGGAUUUUGGCAGAUUGAAUAUGUCCUGGGUAUGCCAGGUUUUUCUACAAAUAUUCUCCUAGCACUUACAACCUGAUGUACAAGUAAUGCUAUAAAGUUAGCAUUUAAAACAUUGGAAGUUUUCCGUAUUCACUUUUUACUCUAUUUUUGAUUGUCACAGUUGUAACUUUAACAACUUUAUUUUUGACAUGGCCAUUUUUGUGGCCAUGAAUAAUAUUUAGUUAAUUAUUUAGUCUGCUUUGUGUGUGCGCAAGCCCUCUCCAGCUAACUCCACAUCCAUUGAGGAUUUUGUAUACGUUUCUGUUUUGUUGGCUCAUGUUUUUGUGUUUGAUUAAAACCCUUAUUUGGAUCUUUUUAUUUUUUUUUGUUAGCUGCUGGAACUUAUAUUUAGUUAGCAUUUACCUUAACUUGAAAUUCAUGUUCAGGAUAGGAUUUUGGAUUAGGUUUUCUGUUGCUAGUUUAGUGUUAGGGUGAGGUUUUAUGCUAUCUAGAUAUAUUUUCCAUAUGAAAGUCCAUUAGGGCAUGUUUUGUUUUUGUUGUUUUGAUUGUCUGUUAUGUUUUAUAAGUUUGUUUUUAUGUCUUUCUUUUUUUUUUUGUCUUGUUUUUACGUCUGAAAUCCUUUCUGGGUGGUUUUAUUUUUUUUUGUUAGCUGCUGGAACUUAUAUUUAUUUGGCAUCAGCCUUCGAUCAAAAUUAUUUCGUUUCAUUAUUUGGUGUCUUAGCAGGUUAGGAAGUAGUUUAAUUUGUUUUUUGGGUUUACAGUUGUGCUGUAUGCCGUCUAAAUAUAUUUUCCUUUGAAAGUCACUGGCGUGGUUUGAAAUAAACUCGUAAACUUUGAGAGGGUUUGACACUAUAAAAUAUUUUCAAAUUUCUUCUAUUUAAAACAAUUUUUUUUAACCCUCCCCCAUCCCCUUUUUGAAAAUAUUUUAUAAUCAGAGCAGACAAAAUACUUGAUACAUUUACUUUUGAUACAUUUACUUUUCAUACAUUUACUUUUCAUACAUUUACUUUUCAUACAUUUACUUUUCAUACAUUUACUUUUGAUACAUUUUACUGUUCUCAUCCCCUUUCUCCCCAAUGUCACUAUACAGGAUUGAAGAUGUAGUGCUUGGUAUUAGAAUUUACUGAUUGAAGAUGUAGUGCUUGGUAUUAGAAUUUACUGAUUGAAGAUGUAGUGCUUGGUAUUUGGAUUUACUGAUUGAAGAUGUAGUGCUUUUUAUUAGAAUUUACUGAUUGAAGAUGUAGUGCUUGGUAUUUGGAUUUACUGAUUGAAGAUGUAGUGCUUGGUAUUAGAAUUUACUGAUUGAAGAUGUAGUGCUUUUUAUUAGAAUUUACUGAUUGAAGAUGUAGUGCUUGGUAUUAGAAUUUACUGAUUGAAGAUGUAGUGCUUGGUAUUUGGAUUUACUGUUUGUUGUACUUAAAAGUGAACACCAAGUAGUAGGCUAGUAAGUUGUUUUUUUUUUUUU
Long non-coding RNA from Biomphalaria glabrata, 7854 nucleotides. RefSeq lists it as uncharacterized. Lineage: Eukaryota; Metazoa; Mollusca; Gastropoda; Planorbidae. The transcript is spliced from 4 exons. The record is from RefSeq and is a predicted model, not a curated record.